AGCGAACGCUGGCGGCGUGCCUAACACAUGCAAGUCGAACGUGAACGGGGGCAACCCUUAGUAAAGUGGCGUACGGGUGAGUAACACGUAGGUAAUCUACCCUAGAGUCUGGAAUAACCGGCCGAAAGGCUGGCUAAUACUGGAUAGAGCGACGGAACUCGUAAAGAGUUUUUCGGGAAAGGGUGCUCGCAAGAGCCCUCGCUUUAGGAUGAGCCUGCGUCCCAUCAGGUAGUUGGUAGGGUAAUGGCCUACCAAGCCUUUGAUGGGUAGCUGGUCUGAGAGGAUGAUCAGCCACACUGGAACUGAAACACGGUCCAGACUCCUACGGGAGGCAGCAGUGGGGAAUCUUGCGCAAUGGGCGAAAGCCUGACGCAGCCACGCCGCGUGAGUGAAGAAGGCCUUCGGGUUGUAAAGCUCUGUCGGGAGGGACGAACAUCAUUGGUGUUAACAGCGCCAGUGACUGACGGUACCUCCAAAGGAAGCACCGGCUAACUUCGUGCCAGCCGCCGCGGUAA
RNAcentral lists this ribosomal RNA (515 nucleotides) under uncultured bacterium. Its description in RNAcentral is "partial 16S ribosomal RNA". It matches the Rfam family "Bacterial small subunit ribosomal RNA", at positions 29 to 523 of the family's 1533-position model. The record is from RNAcentral.